AUGUGAAAUAGUCUAGCUGUUGGACGUCAUACACUUUCUCCUUGACGUGUACGUAUUAUAAUUGGUCCACUACAUACACACACACACAUAUUCUUUCCGGCACUCCGCCCUAUGACAAAUAACCUGUACUAGCAAUUAUUACACAGUGAUAAAUUGCGUUUUAUUACGUAUAUAAUUUGUUAAUUUAUUUAUUAAUUGUAAAGAUAUUGUAUUUUAUAAAACAAAAAUCAUGACAUUUGUAUCGCCAAUGCCGAGUAGAGAGUUUUUGUGGGAUGUCUUUCAAAGAGUUGAUAAAGAUCGUUCUGGUGCAAUCUCAGCUGACGAACUUCAGCAAGCACUUUCCAAUGGUACCUGGACUCCAUUCAAUCCAGAAACAGUUCGUUUGAUGAUUGGUAUGUUUGAUACUGACAAAACUGAUCCCGAUCCUUCAGGUAUGUUUGACAAGAACCAGAGUGGUACUGUAAGCUUUGAAGAAUUUGGAGCACUAUGGAAGUAUGUAACUGACUGGCAGAAUUGCUUCCGUUCUUUUGAUUCUGACAACAGUGGAAAUAUUGAUAAACAUGAAUUAAAAACAGCUCUGACUAACUUUGGAUACCGAUUAUCAGAUAAUAUUGUUGAGAUGCUGGUGCGAAAAUAUGAUAGACUUGGACAAGGAACUAUUUAUUUUGAUGAUUUUAUUCAAUGCUGUAUUGUGCUAUAUACUCUGACGUCAGCCUUCCGAAAAUAUGAUACUGAUCAAGAUGGUAUUAUUACAAUUCAUUAUGAACAAUUUCUCAGCAUGGUAUUCAGCUUGAAGAUUUAAAUAUGACGUAUUUUUGAAUAUUCAAAAAUGAAAAAUGAUUUGACCUUAAAAUCAAAACUAAGGUAAUACGAAAAUAUUUUUAAUUCAAUCAAAAAGGAAAUUACACAUUGUAGAAUAAUCAAUACAGUUGUUGGCCAGACCAUCCUGAAUUGAUCAUGAAUACAAUAGAAUGAGUGCCAAUUGUGUGAUUGUGACACGACAACAAUUAUGUUGCUUACUGGAAUAUGUUCAUUGCUAAAUUGAUAAAUAUUUUGUAGAAGCUAUGUAAAAUUCAACUGACUUGCCUUCUUUUCCGAUUUAUGUUUACAAAACUGUUAAAAUUUAAAAUUUACUUCAAAUCAUUCAUAUGUCAUAUAGAAAAUACUGUUAUUUAUUCUUUGUUAAAUUUCAAUUGCACAGUUUGAUAAAGAAUACAAAGCUUGAUAAAACGUUCUAUAAAAAUUAUAUUUGUUACAACUUGUACUACUGUAUUAUUAUUAAAAGAAAUAUAU
This 1293-nucleotide unclassified non-coding RNA is filed under the name Chelonus insularis. Its description in RNAcentral is "programmed cell death protein 6, transcript variant X3". Lineage: Eukaryota; Metazoa; Arthropoda; Insecta; Hymenoptera; Braconidae. The record is from RNAcentral.